AUUGAACGCUGGCGGCAUGCCUUACACAUGCAAGUCGAACGGCAGCACGGGAGCAAUCCUGGUGGCGAGUGGCGAACGGGUGAGUAAUAUAUCGGAACGUGCCCGGUCGUGGGGAUAACGUAGCGAAAGCUACGCUAAUACCGCAUACGAUCUACGGAUGAAAGCGGGGGAUCGCAAGACCUCGCGCGAUUGGAGCGGCCGAUAUCAGAUUAGGUAGUUGGUGAGGUAAAGGCUCACCAAGCCGACGAUCUGUAGCUGGUCUGAGAGGACGACCAGCCACACUGGGACUGAGACACGGCCCAGACUCCUACGGGAGGCAGCAGUGGGGAAUUUUGGACAAUGGGCGGCAAGCCUGAUCCAGCAAUGCCGCGUGCAGGAUGAAGGGCCUCGGUUGGUAAC
This 399-nucleotide ribosomal RNA is filed under the name uncultured bacterium. Its description in RNAcentral is "bacterial SSU rRNA". It matches the Rfam family "Bacterial small subunit ribosomal RNA", at positions 29 to 429 of the family's 1533-position model. The record is from RNAcentral.